CCCAGGGCAACACUGUGUCAACAAGGGGCCAGUGCAAUGGUUGGAUGUACAAACAGGGGUGCGAAGUCCACCACCUCCUGCAAACAGAGCUGAAACGAGAGUGGGGAUGUAUUUAUAUUGACUCCAAAACUGCCCACAUUGGUUGCUCAGAAGGACAUUCGCUGACUGUGCUGCACUGGUUCUCACAACAGGAUGUGAAGGAAAAGACUUAGCUGCAACCACUGUAAGCCAGCUCUGAUUAUCACAACUGCAAAACAGAAUCAUCCAUGAACAACUGUACAAAGGAAAGCAGAAUGAAUACAAGAACACUUCCAGAAACAACCUCCAUGGGAGAAGGUACUUCGAUAUACAGGGGAUGAGUACAGCAUAAAUACAGGCAGCAAUACAAAGGAAAGAUAAAGCCCCAGAGAACAUACAUCCAGUUGUACAGUGGUCCAAGAACUGAACUCAGGAACUAUAUUUAGAGAGCAAGACCUGGGACCAGAGGAAGAGUACAUAAAUCAUCUCCCUUAUGGAAACAGCCUGUAUAUUUCAAGAGAUGACAUCAAUAUGAUUUAUCAAAAACAACCAACAGCUGUGAAAUUAAAGAGAAAAUUAAGUCCUUUCUAUUACUUAUGGCUAGAAAACUUCUACCAAAACUAUUUCUGAGAGAAUAUUUUUAAUGAAAAAUCAUAAGGAAAAUUGGUCCCAUUUUUCAUCCAAUGCUACUUUCCAGAGAUGUUUUAAACCAACAUAUAGAAUGGACUAGAAAGCUACAUUCCUACUAUACAACUCUAUAAUUGAUUUUAAAUGGCUACAGAAAAAAGUUAUUCUUUAUGGAUUGCAAUAGACUUUUUCCAUAUGGGCUGACUCUCCUGUAGUUUUUGUUUUUAACUUGGUUGUAUUUUCUCUUUUUGGAAGGUAAAAAUUCAACAGCACUAUCAGAACUAAGCUAAUGAUUGAUGUAUCCUGCAAUGGUAGCCAUCUUGUAAAUUGGGAACCUAUCAAAGCCCAAAUGUGAGAGACACCAAGUUGGGCUUAACAGACUCAAAAUAAGGGACAUAAGAUAAUUAGGGCUGUCAA
Mauremys reevesii (Reeves's turtle) is the source of this 1062-nucleotide long non-coding RNA. RefSeq lists it as uncharacterized. The transcript has 6 exons. Lineage: Eukaryota; Metazoa; Chordata; Testudines; Geoemydidae. The record is from RefSeq and is a predicted model, not a curated record.